RNAcentral lists this ribosomal RNA (408 nucleotides) under uncultured bacterium. RNAcentral's name for it is "bacterial SSU rRNA". It matches the Rfam family "Bacterial small subunit ribosomal RNA", at positions 354 to 777 of the family's 1533-position model. The record is from RNAcentral.
GUGGGGAAUAUUGCACAAUGGGGGAAACCCUGAUGCAGCGACGCCGCGUGAAGGAAGAAGUAUUUCGGUAUGUAAACUUCUAUCAGCAGGGAAGAAAGAAGACGGUACCUGACUAAGAAGCUCCGGCUAAAUACGUGCCAGCAGCCGCGGUAAUACGUAUGGAGCAAGCGUUAUCCGGAAUUACUGGGUGUAAAGGGUGCGCAGGUGGCAUGGUAAGUCAGAAGUGAAAACCCGGGGCUCAACCCCGCGGACUGCUUUUGAAACUAUCAGGCUGGAGUCCGGGAGAGGUAAGCGGAAUUCCUAGUGUAGCGGUGAAAUGCGUAGAUAUUAGGAGGAACACCAGUGGCGAAGGCGGCUUACUGGACCGGGACUGACACUGAGGCACGAAAGCGUGGGGAGCAAACAGGA